This 876-nucleotide ribosomal RNA is filed under the name Segatella copri DSM 18205. RNAcentral's name for it is "bacterial SSU rRNA". It matches the Rfam family "Bacterial small subunit ribosomal RNA", at positions 682 to 1528 of the family's 1533-position model. Lineage: Bacteria; Pseudomonadati; Bacteroidota; Bacteroidia; Bacteroidales; Prevotellaceae. The record is from RNAcentral.
UGCUAUGAGAACAGUCUGGGCAGGUAAAAAUGAUGAUGAAGAAAAACAACCUUCUACCAGUUCUCACCGGAAUUCAAACCCUUCGGUUCCAACGGAGCGCAACUGACGCUGAAGCUCGAAUGUGCGGGUAUCGAACAGGAUUAGAUACCCUGGUAGUCCGCACGGUAAACGAUGGAUGCCCGCUGUUGGUCUGAACAGGUCAGCGGCCAAGCGAAAGCAUUAAGCAUCCCACCUGGGAGUACGCCGGCAACGGUGAAACUCAAAGGAAUUGACGGGGGCCCGCACAAGCGGAGGAACAUGUGGUUUAAUUCGAUGAUACGCGAGGAACCUUACCGGGCUUGAAUUGCAGAGGAAGGAUUUGGAGACAAUGACGCCCUUCGGGGCCUCUGUGAAGGUGCUGCAUGGUUGUCGUCAGCUCGUGCCGUGAGGUGUCGGCUUAAGUGCCAUAACGAGCGCAACCCCUCUCCUUAGUUGCCAUCAGGUGAAGCUGGGCACUCUGGGGACACUGCCACCGUAAGGUGUGAGGAAGGUGGGGAUGACGUCAAAUCAGCACGGCCCUUACGUCCGGGGCUACACACGUGUUACAAUGGCAGGUACAGAGAGACGGUCCCUUGCAAAAUGGAUCAAAUCCUUAAAGCCUGUCUCAGUUCGGACUGGGGUCUGCAACCCGACCCCACGAAGCUGGAUUCGCUAGUAAUCGCGCAUCAGCCAUGGCGCGGUGAAUACGUUCCCGGGCCUUGUACACACCGCCCGUCAAGCCAUGAAAGCCGGGGGCGCCUAAAGUCCGUGACCGUAAGGAGCGGCCUAGGGCGAAACUGGUAAUUGGGGCUAAGUCGUAACAAGGUAGCCGUACCGGAAGGUGCGGCUGGAACACCU